GACAUCGUCCUCACGCUCAUCGUCGUCCUUGCAUCUGGUCGCUGUCAUCUGCCUCAAGUUGAUUAGAAUUUGGGGUUUUCAUAAGAUGAAAUUGAGAUUAGUCUCAGAAGAGGAGCAUAAACAGAAGGCUAAGGCUAAGGCUAAGGCUAAGGCUACUGCAUUAAAAGUGUCCUUUAAUUUCCCUCUUCACAUGCAAUGACUAGCAAUGAUAGCAAUCCUCAUACUAGUGUUCUUAGACACAUGUUUAUAGAUGUUUAUAGAUGUCCUUAAUUUGUUUUUUUUUUUUUUUUGUUUGGAUAGAUAUGGAUCGAAGGAAGCUUUUAUUGAUCUUAUUGUUAGAGAUGUCUUAUUUGGAGACAAUUUGUAUUUGUACGAUUCUUGUGGUGAUGAUGCUACGUGGCAAACAGAGACAUGUUGAACGACCCACAUUGACUAACCGUUCACUUAUUAGACGAGAGAUUAGUUUGUGUUAUCUGAAUGGUAUAAUAGGGAAUACUGAUACUGAAUGUGUGUCAACGAAUUGA
Molecule: small RNA, 524 nt
Filed under: Malus domestica (apple)
Lineage: Eukaryota; Viridiplantae; Streptophyta; Magnoliopsida; Rosales; Rosaceae
Description: sRNA MD03G0205500
Source: RNAcentral